This 517-nucleotide ribosomal RNA is filed under the name uncultured bacterium. RNAcentral describes it as "bacterial SSU rRNA". It matches the Rfam family "Bacterial small subunit ribosomal RNA", at positions 28 to 533 of the family's 1533-position model. The record is from RNAcentral.
GAUGAACGCUAGCUACAGGCUUAACACAUGCAAGUCGAGGGGUAACGAGAGGAAAGCUUGCUUUCCUUGUCGACGACCGGCGCACGGGUGAGUAACGCGUAUCCAACCUGCCCCCAACUAGGGAAUAACCUUGCGAAAGUAAGACUAAUACCCUAUAAUUUCCUCAGAUGUCAUCUGACGAGGAAUAAAGAUUUAUCGGUUGUGGAUGGGGAUGCGUCUGAUUAGCUUGUUGGCGGGGUAACGGCCCACCAAGGCAACGAUCAGUAGGGGUUCUGAGAGGAAGGUCCCCCACAUUGGAACUGAGACACGGUCCAAACUCCUACGGGAGGCAGCAGUGAGGAAUAUUGGUCAAUGGGCGGAAGCCUGAACCAGCCAAGUAGCGUGCAGGAUGACGGCCCUAUGGGUUGUAAACUGCUUUUAUACAGGAAUAAAGUUAGCCACGUGUGGUUAUUUGUAGGUACUGUAUGAAUAAGGACCGGCUAAUUCCGUGCCAGCAGGCCGCGGUAAAACGUGCGUG